CUAAUACAUGCAAGUCGAACGAACUCUGGUAUUGAUUGGUGCUUGCAUCAUGAUUUACAUUUGAGUGAGUGGCGAACUGGUGAGUAACACGUGGGAAACCUGCCCAGAAGCGGGGGAUAACACCUGGAAACAGAUGCUAAUACCGCAUAACAACUUGGACCGCAUGGUCCGAGCUUGAAAGAUGGCUUCGGCUAUCACUUUUGGAUGGUCCCGCGGCGUAUUAGCUAGAUGGUGGGGUAACGGCUCACCAUGGCAAUGAUACGUAGCCGACCUGAGAGGGUAAUCGGCCACAUUGGGACUGAGACACGGCCCAAACUCCUACGGGAGGCAGCAGUAGGGAAUCUUCCACAAUGGACGAAAGUCUGAUGGAGCAACGCCGCGUGAGUGAAGAAGGGUUUCGGCUCGUAAAACUCUGUUGUUAAAGAAGAACAUAUCUGAGAGUAACUGUUCAGGUAUUGACGGUAUUUAACCAGAAAGCCACGGCUAACUACGUGCCAGCAGCCGCGGUAAUACGUAAGUGGAAGCGUGCCGAUUUAUUGUGCGUAAAGCGAGCGCAGGCGGUUUUU
Molecule: ribosomal RNA, 566 nt
Filed under: Lactiplantibacillus plantarum
Lineage: Bacteria; Bacillati; Bacillota; Bacilli; Lactobacillales; Lactobacillaceae
Description: bacterial SSU rRNA
Rfam family: Bacterial small subunit ribosomal RNA
Source: RNAcentral